GCACCAAACUACUAUGUAUUUUAUCAGUUGGUGGUGUGACAUUUUUCCAUUGACAACUCACGUUUAGACACAUUAUGUUACAAAUAAAAGUCAAAUUUCAUUCAAUAUGUGCGUGUAAUUUUUUUUAUAAUGAAGUGUUCCAAGUGCGCUAAAAAGUGCCCUUUUCCCCCCUGAGCACUUGCCCCCCAAAAUGUCUGUGCACGCCACUGACUUAUUUAUACGAGGGGAUCUGUCCUCCUCAACUUAUAAAUGAAUGUUAAAAACUUAGGUCUUAUAUAUUUAGGUGAAUAUCCGUAUCAGCAAAGGAAGCAUUUAGGAAAUUACUAGUAAGAGUUAAUGUAAACUUCAGUGUAGUCAGUAGUGGAGAGUAAGCCACUAGUCCGAGGCAGGUGGCAAAAACGACAGCUGACCUGCAGUGGGUGAUGUGAAAGACUGAGACUUUGAACUGCUGCUGAUUCAGCAUUGCCAAAUAGCCAGCACAAAGCACAGCAACUCAGUUCCAAUACAUCAGAUAACAGUAGCCUUGUGCUGAUCGAAAUACAUUUUGGAGUUAUGAGGGAAACCCUCCAAAAGCUAACCUAAUCAAGACUGUGUCUCAGCCCUGAAUAUUUUAAGGAAAUUGGAAUUUUACAGAGUUGGGGAGCUUUAUGACAAUAUGUACUUCAGAAUUGGGGAGAUUAAAGAGCAAAGGAUGGGUCAGUGUAGUAUUCGGGCACAGACACAGAUGAGCAAGCAGAGUUGUAGGGUAUACUGGAGGUCAGGUCUGGAGCGGAGUAGAGUUUAAAACAUUACCAAUUAAAAACUGCAGGCUGUGUAGACCAGCACUGAACAACACACACUCUGUUUUUCUGUUUGAACAGAUCUGUUUAAAAUAGACUAUUAUUCGUUCUAUAAAACCACAUUCAGUUACAUUAGCUUGCUAGUACUUAUAUUAUGCAAUUAUGCUUUUUUAUUCUCUCUCUUUCUCCCUCUUCCACUUUCUUUCAGGCCGCUGCCCCUCGACCCCAGCCUGGGGUGAAAGGCUCAGGAGGAUCUGUUGCAGGUUGGCCGGUGAGUUACUGACUGUCCACCUGUCUGACCCGAUACCGAUGGAUGUUGGACCCCCAGGCUCUCAUGUCCUCUGUCCGGCCAGACUGAUGAAAGUUCUGAAGUCAGCUCUUUUCCAUCACCCACCACAGAUCAGCUCCUCAUCAUCCAUCUUACUCUCCACUACUGAUUACAUCCAAGCUUACAUGUACUCUAACUGCUUCCAUUAGUGGCACUGCUAUACUCUCUCCUGUGUGGAUGUAUAAAGACUUUUUAAAAUUAAUUUAAAAGCUGUUUGACCAGUGGUAGGAUGCCCCCCCUUGUAUUCUGUAUUUUCUAUGUUUUUUAUGUUUUGCCUGAUUCUUUUUCCUGUGAUCAUGUUUCUAUAAAGCUGCUUUGUGACACCAGUUGUAAAAAGUUGAUUUGAUUUAUUUUUAUUUACAUUAAUAAUUUACUUUAUUUUAUUUACAUGACAUAAUUAUUCUAAUGUACAAACCAGAAGAAUGUGGGGUCAGCUUAGUUUAUUCCUUGAUUUUAUUGAAUUUAUCUAACAGAGAAUAUGAGCUAGAGCAGUAGAGAUGUAGAGGUAUUCUCUAAUAGAGAUGAUAAUGUGUCUCUGAUACCGUAUAAUUCACUACAGUUAGAUCUAGAAUAUGGACUGUAGUAUAGAGCUUAGGUGUGUUAUGUUGUAUCAUACAUAAUAAUAAUAAUAACAAAAACAUUGUGUGAUAAUAGCAGUAUUCUGUAUUAAAAGUGCAUUAAUUAGUCUAUUCUGUAUUAGUUUAGUUUUUUAUUGUG
RNAcentral lists this long non-coding RNA (1824 nucleotides) under Astyanax mexicanus (Mexican tetra). RNAcentral describes it as "lncRNA (ENSAMXG00005000569.1)". The record is from RNAcentral. Lineage: Eukaryota; Metazoa; Chordata; Actinopteri; Characiformes; Acestrorhamphidae.